AUUGAACGCUGGCGGCAGGCCUAACACAUGCAAGUCGAACGGUAGCACAGAGAGCUUGCUCUCGGGUGACGAGUGGCGGACGGGUGAGUAAUGUCUGGGAAACUGCCCGAUGGAGGGGGGUAACUACUGGAAACGGUAGCUAAUACCGCAUAACGUCGCAAGACCAAAGAGGGGGGACCUUCGGGCCUCUUGCCAUCGGAUGUGCCCAGAUGGGAUUAGCUUGUAGGUGAGGUAACGG
RNAcentral lists this ribosomal RNA (238 nucleotides) under uncultured bacterium. RNAcentral's name for it is "partial 16S ribosomal RNA". It matches the Rfam family "Bacterial small subunit ribosomal RNA", at positions 30 to 263 of the family's 1533-position model. The record is from RNAcentral.